UUCACACACAUUGACACGGAUAAACAGAGUGAGGCAUUUCAAGAGAGACAAGUAGCCCCUGCUUACUGUCUUCAGCUUGUUGGCAGGGCUCUCUUUUAAGUGCUUGAAACCACCUCUGAGACUUCUCUUAAUCAAAUCAGAGUUAACAACAAAUCAAAGCCACUGAAGAUGUUUCGGAGCAAAGCACUAAGUUGGCUCUCACAGUCACAGCAACCAACGCCUUCAAGGUCACCAAUAAGCUUCAAGGGACUACGUGCUCAAAUCAAUCCAUUACCUCUCACAACAUCGCCUCUAACUCUACCAAUAAACUCUACGAGAGGUGAUGAUCAGAUAGCUAAUUCAUCAACUCUCACAGCAACGCCUCCAACAAUGGGACCAAUAAACUCUGGAGGAGGUGGUCAAACCAACUCAUCCGCUCUCAAAGCAAAGCCCCCAACGCCACCCAUAAACUCCGGGGGAGGCGGUCAAACCAACUCAUUUGCUCUCAAAGCAAAGCCUCCAACACCACCUGCAAACCCCGGGAAAGGUGGUAAAACCAAUUAAUCAGAUCUCACAACAAAUAAAUUUAUACACGUUUGUGGAGGUAUAUGAUGUAUCAAGCCCAGUAAAAAUUAUAUAUAGAUUGGUGUAUGUCGUGCAAUUCUUAAAAUGGAUUGUGAGAAUUCAAAUCUUUGUAAUGUCAAGUGGCUGCAUGAGUUUGUUGUCAUAAAAAAAAAAAAAUAAUUAGAAAACAAUAAUUUCAAGAACUUGUAUUAAUUAUUAGUGUGUUUUUAGAGGGAGAUCGAAUUUAUGGUGUAUGACAUCUUUUAAUAAAUAUAUACGUGAAUUUACUUCGGUUUAA
Cornus florida is the source of this 841-nucleotide long non-coding RNA. RefSeq lists it as uncharacterized. The transcript has 2 exons. The record is from RefSeq and is a predicted model, not a curated record. Lineage: Eukaryota; Viridiplantae; Streptophyta; Magnoliopsida; Cornales; Cornaceae.